Molecule: transfer RNA, 71 nt
Filed under: Arthothelium ruanum
Lineage: Eukaryota; Fungi; Ascomycota; Arthoniomycetes; Arthoniales; Arthoniaceae
Description: tRNA-Asn
Rfam family: tRNA
About the family: Transfer RNA (tRNA) molecules are approximately 80 nucleotides in length. Their secondary structure includes four short double-helical elements and three loops (D, anti-codon, and T loops).
Source: RNAcentral
GCCCCUAUAGCUCAACGGUAGAGCGGAAUACUGUUAAUAUUUAGAUACAUGUUCAAUUCAUGUUGGGAGCU